AUUUUUUUUAUUGGGUGUAAAAAGCAAUUCCUCUUCCUUACCCUGAUUAACAAUCAGGAACCCCAGCUAUGCCCCACGAGUCUGCCCUCACCAGUAUGUACUGAGAUGCACCUAUAUAUUGCAGGCUGAGAUCUGCUGAUCUCCAACUUGGCAACUAUUUUCAACAUUUCAACAACACAUUAAACAGUGAUCCAACAACAUCCUUACAGUUGUCCUCU
Molecule: non-coding RNA, 218 nt
Organism: Pelobates cultripes (western spadefoot toad)
Lineage: Eukaryota; Metazoa; Chordata; Amphibia; Anura; Pelobatidae
Source: the annotation of a GenBank genome assembly